AACGAACGCUGGCGGCAUGCCUAACACAUGCAAGUCGAACGAGACCUUCGGGUCUAGUGGCGCACGGGUGCGUAACGCGUGGGAACCUGCCCUUAGGUUCGGAAUAACUCCCCGAAAGGGGUGCUAAUACCGGAUAAUGUCUUCGGACCAAAGAUUUAUCGCCUUUGGAUGGGCCCGCGUUGGAUUAGCUAGUUGGUAGGGUAAAAGCCUACCAAGGCGACGAUCCAUAGCUGGUCUGAGAGGAUGAUCAGCCACACUGGGACUGAGACACGGCCCAGACUCCUACGGGAGGCAGCAGUGGGGAAUAUUGGACAAUGGGCGAAAGCCUGAUCCAGCAAUGCCGCGUGAGUGAUGAAGGCCUUAGGGUUGUAAAGCUCGUUUACCCGGGAUGAUAAUGACAGUACCGGGAGAAUAAGCUCCGGCUAACUCCGU
RNAcentral lists this ribosomal RNA (432 nucleotides) under uncultured bacterium. Its description in RNAcentral is "partial 16S ribosomal RNA". It matches the Rfam family "Bacterial small subunit ribosomal RNA", at positions 29 to 506 of the family's 1533-position model. The record is from RNAcentral.